AGAACGAACGCUGGCGGCAUGCCUAACACAUGCAAGUCGAACGAGACCUUCGGGUCUAGUGGCGCACGGGUGCGUAACGCGUGGGAAUCUGCCCUUGGGUUCGGAAUAACAGUUGGAAACGACUGCUAAUACCGGAUGAUGUCUUCGGACCAAAGAUUUAUCGCCCAGGGAUGAGCCCGCGUAGGAUUAGCUUGUUGGUGAGGUAAAGGCUCACCAAGGCGACGAUCCUUAGCUGGUCUGAGAGGAUGAUCAGCCACACUGGGACUGAGACACGGCCCAGACUCCUACGGGAGCAGCGAGUGGGGAAUAUUGGACAA
Molecule: ribosomal RNA, 317 nt
Filed under: uncultured soil bacterium
Lineage: Bacteria
Description: bacterial SSU rRNA
Rfam family: Bacterial small subunit ribosomal RNA
Source: RNAcentral